RNAcentral lists this ribosomal RNA (946 nucleotides) under Snodgrassella alvi. Its description in RNAcentral is "bacterial SSU rRNA". It matches the Rfam family "Bacterial small subunit ribosomal RNA", at positions 340 to 1280 of the family's 1533-position model. Lineage: Bacteria; Pseudomonadati; Pseudomonadota; Betaproteobacteria; Neisseriales; Neisseriaceae. The record is from RNAcentral.
UACGGGAGGCAGCAGUGGGGAAUUUUGGACAAUGGGGGGAACCCUGAUCCAGCCAUGCCGCGUGUCUGAAGAAGGCCUUCGGGUUGUAAAGGACUUUUGUUAGGGAAGAAAAGCCGGGUGUUAAUACCACCUGGUGCUGACGGUACCUAAAGAAUAAGCACCGGCUAACUACGUGCCAGCAGCCGCGGUAAUACGUAGGGUGCGAGCGUUAAUCGGAAUUACUGGGCGUAAAGCGAGCGCAGACGGUUAAUUAAGUCAGAUGUGAAAUCCCCGAGCUCAACUUGGGACGUGCAUUUGAAACUGGUUAACUAGAGUGUGUCAGAGGGAGGUAGAAUUCCACGUGUAGCAGUGAAAUGCGUAGAGAUGUGGAGGAAUACCGAUGGCGAAGGCAGCCUCCUGGGAUAACACUGACGUUCAUGCUCGAAAGCGUGGGUAGCAAACAGGAUUAGAUACCCUGGUAGUCCACGCCCUAAACGAUGACAAUUASCUGUUGGGACACUAGAUGUCUUAGUAGCGAAGCUAACGCGUGAAAUUGUCCGCCUGGGGAGUACGGUCGCAAGAUUAAAACUCAAAGGAAUUGACGGGGACCCGCACAAGCGGUGGAUGAUGUGGAUUAAUUCGAUGCAACGCGAAGAACCUUACCUGGUCUUGACAUGUACGGAAUCUCUUAGAGAUAGGAGAGUGCCUUCGGGAGCCGUAACACAGGUGCUGCAUGGCUGUCGUCAGCUCGUGUCGUGAGAUGUUGGGUUAAGUCCCGCAACGAGCGCAACCCUUGUCAUUAGUUGCCAUCAUUAAGUUGGGCACUCUAAUGAGACUGCCGGUGACAAACCGGAGGAAGGUGGGGAUGACGUCAAGUCCUCAUGGCCCUUAUGACCAGGGCUUCACACGUCAUACAAUGGUCGGUACAGAGGGUAGCGAAGCCGCGAGGUGAAGCCAAUCUCAGAAA